Molecule: transfer RNA, 85 nt
Filed under: Lentinula lateritia
Lineage: Eukaryota; Fungi; Basidiomycota; Agaricomycetes; Agaricales; Omphalotaceae
Description: tRNA-Asn
Rfam family: tRNA
About the family: Transfer RNA (tRNA) molecules are approximately 80 nucleotides in length. Their secondary structure includes four short double-helical elements and three loops (D, anti-codon, and T loops).
Source: RNAcentral
UGCCCCAUGGCUGAGUUGGUUACAGCGUCCGACUGUUAAGUCCAUCACAAUCGGAAGGUCGAGAGUUCGAGCCUCUCUGGGGCAG